GACGAACGCUGGCGGCGUGCUUAACACAUGCAAGUCGAACGGAAAGGCCCUGCUCUUGUGGGGUGCUCGAGUGGCGAACGGGUGAGUAACACGUGAGUAACCUGCCCUUGACUUUGGGAUAACUUCAGGAAACUGGGGCUAAUACCGGAUAGGAUCUCCUGCUGCAUGGGGGGGGUUGGAAAGUUUCGGCGGUUGUGGAUGGUCUCGCGGCUUAUCAGCUUGUUGGUGGGGUAGUGGCUUACCAAGGCUUUGACGGGUAGCCGGCCUGAGAGGGUGACCGGCGACAUUGGGACUGAGAUAGGGCCCAGAAUCCUACGGGAGGCAGCAGUGGGAAAUAUUGCACAAUGGGCGGAAGCCUGAUGCAGCAACGCCGCGUGCGGGAUGACGGCCUUCGGGUUGUAAACCGCUUUCGACUGUGACGAAGCGUGAGUGACGGUAAUGGGUAAAGAAGCACCGGCUAACUACGUG
RNAcentral lists this ribosomal RNA (468 nucleotides) under uncultured bacterium. Its description in RNAcentral is "partial 16S ribosomal RNA". It matches the Rfam family "Bacterial small subunit ribosomal RNA", at positions 28 to 507 of the family's 1533-position model. The record is from RNAcentral.